GGGGAUAUAGCUCAGUUGGUAGAGUGCUUUCCCAGCAUGUAUACAAGGCCAUGGGUUCAAUCCCCAGUACCACCA
RNAcentral lists this transfer RNA (75 nucleotides) under Marmota marmota marmota (Alpine marmot). It matches the Rfam family "tRNA". Rfam says of the family: Transfer RNA (tRNA) molecules are approximately 80 nucleotides in length. Lineage: Eukaryota; Metazoa; Chordata; Mammalia; Rodentia; Sciuridae. RNAcentral also lists the same sequence under 3 other names. The record is from Rfam by way of RNAcentral.